Molecule: ribosomal RNA, 253 nt
Filed under: uncultured bacterium
Lineage: Bacteria
Description: partial 16S ribosomal RNA
Rfam family: Bacterial small subunit ribosomal RNA
Source: RNAcentral
UACGUAGGGUGCGAGCGUUAAUCGGAAUUACUGGGCGUAAAGUGUGCGCAGGCGGCCGAGCAAGUCGAGUGUGAAAGCCCCGAGCUUAACUUGGGAACUGCGCUCGAAACUACUUGGCUAGAGUGUGGCAGAGGGAGGUGGAAUUCCACGUGUAGCGGUGAAAUGCGUAGAGAUGUGGAGGAACACCGAUGGCGAAGGCAGCCUCCUGGGCCAACACUGACGCUCAUGUACGAAAGCGUGGGGAGCGAAUGGG